GGAACAAGAGCCAUCAAAUGGCUAUAAAAAGGCAGCAAAAUGAGGGUUCAUUUUCACCCUUCAAAGCAAGGUUUUGGUGGCUCCAUUUGAUACAAAUAGGGGGCUAAGGGAGGAGAAUGAGGAAGGUAUUGAAAAAGGGGUGGCGGCAGAAAGAAAGAAAGAAACAGAGAAAACGAGAGAGAAAAGAGGGAAGAAAAAGAAAAAUUUUGCUGAAAAAUCUCCGACCAGGCUGGCUGACUAGCCUCUUUCCUAAUCAAUUUUCGACUUGUUUUUGAACCUUUUUGAGUGAUUUGUUUUUUUCUGCACUAUCACCAGAUGUGACAGAACAAAUUUUGUUUUGAAAACAUUAUGAAAAAACAUCCCAGUCCUUUCGAAUUGUAGUACAAACUCUUGACCUUGUCACUGCUGAAAUUUCUGCAACAAAGGUCCUGGCUUCCAGAUUUCAGCUUUGAAUCACACUCUCCUCAGAUUUCCUACGUUUAUUUGGGUAUCUUCAAACAUCAAAGGUAACUCUUAAUCUUUCCCUUGCUUGCUGCAAUCCACAUGCAAAAAGAAUUAAACUCAUUAAACAGGAACCUUGUCAGAUUAUUGCUUCAUGAGUUUUUGCACUAGCCUUAUGCGUAUUGUUGGGUCUGAUGCAUCUUAUUAAAAGAUGACAAAGCUGUCAAGUUAACGUAAAGGCCAUCAGUGAUUUUUUUAUCUCUGCAAGUUUUGCAGCUCAUGAUCUGAGUCAUGUUUUCGGGGCUUUGUUUGGAAUCUACAAAUGAAAGUUGUCUGUUUCUCUUUCUGCUUGCAAACCCGAGAAGGAAAGGAAGAGGGGGGGUCUUGAACCAUUAAUUUCACGUUGUUACAUUGUUUUCUUGUUGGGUUGAAGUUCCUAUGUUAGUUGAUGAAUCCAUGGGCUUCGUUUAAGUUCGCGGCUGAUUUUCUUGUGCUUGAAUAAGAGUAGCUAGUGAAACCCAGGAAGUUGUAGGAAGGCUCUUUGAAGAAGCUGCAUGCAAGGUUGUGGGUCCCACCUUAGAUUUGUGGUUGCUUUGUGAAAUCUGGUUGCUUUGUGGGUCCCACCUCAGAUUGUCCGUUUGGCCCGUUCUUUGAUGACUCUCUGAGUGUUUAAUCUAACUGUGUGCGUGUGUUCUUGAUCAUUUGUGAGAAAAAAAAAAAGAAGCUGCAUGCAAGUUUUUAAAAUUUACAUUUUUGACCCCCAACUUUUGUUUAAUUUCACCAUGGCCCAAAACUUGGAAAAAUCUAGCUUAUUUCGCUCUUUUAAGUUUUAAUAAUCUUUUUCAUGUUUUAAGUAGGUUUUUGGGUGAACUAUUUCUGGUUUUAAGGCAUAAUUAGGGUUUAAUAAUUUUUAAUUGAUUUGUUGCCUUGAUGGGUUUUAGUAAAAUUGGAUUAAGAUUGAUUUGUUUGGGUUUUAAAAGAGGGUUGUGCUUUUGUUUUGAUGGGGUUUUUGUGUGGACUUGGAGGUCAAAGCCUGGCCUUUUGAUGGACUUUGCUUAGCAAAAAUGAUGGGUCAGCCCACCCUUAUUCUUGAGGCUUUUCUUCGGGCUUGAUGGCUUUUGGCCCAAAGAAAAAAAAAUGGCCCAAGUGGCCUGUUAGGUUAGGAAGACCAGAGAUGAAUUUGCAGAUUAGUCCCUACAAUUUUGAGUAUUUUGUAUUUCGGCCCUAAAAUGUUUAAUUUCUUUCAAUUAGGUCCCUCAUUUAAUUGUAAAUAGGUUCCUGAACUUUAUUUUUCUUUCAAUUUGACCCUAAAUAUUUUAAUAAUUACAAAUUGACCCCCAAAUCUUUCUUAAUUUUUGCAAUUAGGUCCCAAGCAGUUUUGAUUCUUAAAUAUAAGUUACUUUUCUUCUUUAAUUGUUAAUUAUGCUUCAUUUAAGUGCUUUAAUUGGUAGAUUUCAUGAUUAUUUCUAUUUCUUUAUAAUUAAAUUGGCGUCUUGAUCAUUUUGUUCAUUUUGGAGCAUAAGUAGGGCAAAUUUCACCCUAUCUAAUCACCACUUCAAGAGAGGUAACCUCUUUUAUUAUUUUAAACUCCUUUAUGCGCUCCAAUGUGUUUUUAUGUGUAAUUGUAUGUUUUCAGUGCUUUUUCUUUAAUUAGUCAUUCUUGUUCAUGUUAUGUUUCAUUUGUUUUAUUUAAUUUUGAUGAUUAUUUGAGAGGCAUUAAAAUGCCAAGUUGUAAUAGAUAGGUGCUCAAGACAUGCAUUUAGCUAGCCUAUGUAAUACAUAGGUUUUAAUUUUUGCUAAAAAUGUAUCUAGUUAGAUAAAUGUAAUAGUUAUAUUAUUAUUAUUUUUUUAGAAUUUCCCCCUUUAGAUUGUAGUUAGGGCCCCGAAUGUAAUAGUUAGGCUCUUAUUUGUAUUUAUUUGCUUGGGUGCUUGCAUGCUUGUGCACUUAUGUGUUUACUCGCUUUCAUUAGGGUUUUGCAUCUAGAAAUUAUACUUAUGUGUUAUGUGAUCUAUGUGUUUUAUGUGUUUACUUGUUUUAAUUAUGCUUUAUAUGAUUUAUUUAGUUAUAAUAAAUGCAUGACGUCACCACACUAGUCCAACGCUAGUUGUGGCUUUUCCUUUCGAUUUCUCACUAGUCCAACGCUAGUGAUGACUUGUAGAAGUGGGUUAGUCCAAUGUUAGACCCUUUAGGCUGUUUUUGCGCUAGAUUCACAUUCUUUGCGUGAUAUUCAUCACAUUUCAUGC
Molecule: long non-coding RNA, 2685 nt
Filed under: Coffea arabica (coffee)
Lineage: Eukaryota; Viridiplantae; Streptophyta; Magnoliopsida; Gentianales; Rubiaceae
Description: long non-coding RNA (CARA_LNC008040)
Source: RNAcentral